GCGAACGCUGGCGGCAGGCCUAACACAUGCAAGUCGAACGGAUCCUUCGGGAUUAGUGGCGGACGGGUGAGUAACACGUGGGAACGUGCCUUUUGGUUCGGAACAACUCAGGGAAACUUGAGCUAAUACCGAAUGUGCCCUUCGGGGGAAAGAUUUAUCGCCAUUAGAGCGGCCCGCGUCUGAUUAGCUAGUUGGUGGGGUAAAGGCUCACCAAGGCUACGAUCAGUAGCUGGUCUGAGAGGAUGAUCAGCCACAUUGGGACUGAGACACGGCCCAAACUCCUACGGGAGGCAGCAGUGGGGAAUCUUGCGCA
RNAcentral lists this ribosomal RNA (313 nucleotides) under uncultured bacterium. RNAcentral's name for it is "bacterial SSU rRNA". It matches the Rfam family "Bacterial small subunit ribosomal RNA", at positions 29 to 370 of the family's 1533-position model. The record is from RNAcentral.